ACGGCCCAGACUCCUACGGGAGGCAGCAGUAGGGAAUCUUCCGCAAUGGACGAAAGUCUGACGGAGCAACGCCGCGUGAGCGAUGAAGGCCUUCGGGUCGUAAAGCUCUGUUGUUAGGGAAGAACAAGUAUCGGAGUAACUGCCGNNACCUGACGGUAC
RNAcentral lists this ribosomal RNA (159 nucleotides) under uncultured bacterium. Its description in RNAcentral is "partial 16S ribosomal RNA". It matches the Rfam family "Bacterial small subunit ribosomal RNA", at positions 326 to 488 of the family's 1533-position model. The record is from RNAcentral.